RNAcentral lists this ribosomal RNA (370 nucleotides) under uncultured organism. RNAcentral describes it as "partial 16S ribosomal RNA". It matches the Rfam family "Bacterial small subunit ribosomal RNA", at positions 527 to 896 of the family's 1533-position model. The record is from RNAcentral.
GUAGGUGGCAAGCGUUGUCCGGAAUUAUUGGGCGUAAAGCGCGCGCAGGCGGUUCUUUAAGUCUGAUGUGAAGGCCCACGGCUCAACCGUGGAGGGUCAUUGGAAACUGGAGAACUUGAGUACAGAAGAGGAAAGCGGAAUUCCACGUGUAGCGGUGAAAUGCGUAGAGAUGUGGAGGAACACCAGUGGCAAGGCGGCUUUCUGGUCUGUAACUGACGCUGAGGCGCGAAAGCGUGGGGGAGCAAACAGGAUUAGAUACCCUGGUAGUCCACGCCGUAAACGAUGAGUGCUAAGUGUUAGGGGGUUUCCGCCCCUUAGUGCUGCAGCUAACGCAUUAAGCACUCCGCCUGGGAGUACGGCCGCAAGCCUG